GAGUUUGAUCCUGGCUCAGAGCGAACGUUGGCGGCAGGCCUAACACAUGCAAGUCAAAGGAGAAGCAGGACUUCGGUCUUGUGGACACUGGCGCACGGGUGAGUAACGCGUGGGAACCUACCUCAAGGUACGGAACAACCGCUGGAAACGGCGGCUAAUACCGUAUGUGCCCUUCGGGGGAAAGAUUUAUCGCCUUGAGAUGGGCCCGCGUCCGAUUAGCUUGUUGGUGAGGUAAAAGCUCACCAAGGCGACGAUCGGUAGCUGGUCUGAGAGGAUGAUCAGCCACACUGGGACUGAGACACGGCCCAGACUCCUACGGGAGGCAGCAGUGGGGAAUAUUGGACAAUGGGCGAAAGCCUGAUCCAGCCAUGUCGCGUGAAUGAAGAAGGCCUUAGGGUUGUAAAGUUCUUUCAGCGGGGAAGAUGAUGACGGUACCCGCAGAAGAAGCCCCGGCUAACUCCGUGCCAGCAGCCGCGGUAAUACGGAGGGGGCUAACGUUGCUCGGAAUUACUGGGCGUAAAGGGCGUGUAGGCGGAUUGUCUAGUCAGGCGUGAAAGCCCCGGGCUUAACCUGGGAACUGCGCUUGAUACUGACAGUCUAGAGUCCGGAAGAGGGUGGUGGAAUUCCCAGUGUAGAGGUGAAAUUCGUAGAUAUUGGGAAGAACACCAGUGGCGAAGGCGGCCACCUGGUCCGGUACUGACGCUGAAGCGCGAAAGCGUGGGGAGCAACAGGAUUAGAUACCCUGGUAGUCCACGGCGCCCACCUGUCCGGUACUGACGCUGAGCGCGAAAGCGUGGGAGCAAACAGGAUUAGAUACCUGGUAGUCCACGCCGUAAACGAUGGGUGCUAGUUGUCAGGCAGCUUGCUGUUUGGUGACGCAGCUAACGCGUUAAGCACCCCGCCUGGGGACUACGGUCGCAAGACUAAAACUCAAAGGAAUUGACGGGGGCCCGCACAAGCGGUGGAGCAUGUGGUUUAAUUCGAGGCAACGCGAAGAACCUUACCAGCUUUUGACAUCCCGGUCGCGGUUACCAGAGAUGGUUUCCUUCAGUUCGGCUGGACCGGUGACAGGUGCUGCACGGUUGUCGUCAGCUCGUGUCGUGAGAUGUUGGGUUAAGUCCCGCAACGAGCGCAACCCUCGCCUUUAGUUGCCAGCAUUAAGUUGGGCACUCUAGAGGGACUGCCGGUGAUAAGCCGGAGGAAGGUGGGGAUGACGUCAAAUCAUCAUGGCCCUUACGGGCUGGGCUACACACGUGCUACAAUGGCGGUGACAGUGAGCAGCCACUCAGCAAUGGGGAGCUAAUCUCUAAAAGCCGUCUCAGUUCGGAUUGUUCUCUGCAACUCGAGAGCAUGAAGUUGGAAUCGCUAGUAAUCGUGGAUCAGCAUGCCACGGUGAAUACGUUCCCGGGCCUUGUACACACCGCCCGUCACACCAUGGGAGUUGGUUUUACCCGAAGACUGUGUGCUAACUUAGGAGGCAGCAGGCCACGGUAAAGUCAGCGACUGGGGUGAAGUCGUAACAAGGUAGCCGUAGGGGAACCUGCGGCUGGAUCACCUCCUUUCU
This 1564-nucleotide ribosomal RNA is filed under the name uncultured organism. RNAcentral's name for it is "partial 16S ribosomal RNA". It matches the Rfam family "Bacterial small subunit ribosomal RNA". The record is from RNAcentral.